Long non-coding RNA from Mustela lutreola (European mink), 918 nucleotides. RefSeq lists it as uncharacterized. The record is from RefSeq and is a predicted model, not a curated record. Lineage: Eukaryota; Metazoa; Chordata; Mammalia; Carnivora; Mustelidae. The transcript has 2 exons.
GGCCUAUAGGAACUGAACAGUCCCGCGAGCACCGGAAAGAGGCGGAGCCUCCGCCCUCGCCGGGCCUGGCGCACUGGGCCCACAGCGCCCUCUAUUGAGGCUCUGCAUGGAAGGAGCUCUGCAUUGAGGAGCUGCAUGGAACCUGUCCCAAGCGCUUUGCACCUGGCUCUUUUGAAAGGGUAGCUCCUUGGUCCUUGGGAAGGGGCGUCCCCACCCAGAUCCUAGCUUCAGAUGAUGAUGAAACUGAGGCUCAGAGAUCAACGGGCUCCCCCAAGAAGGAACUGGCUGCCGGCAGACUCCAGGACCUGCUCUCUUUAACACCACACCAGGAGGUAACACUCCCUUCCCUUCUGUAGCUGGGGAGACUGAGGUUCAGGGAGGUUACACAAGAUGAGGAAGUGGCAAAGCCCAGGGACAACCAGGACCCCUGAACAUCCUGUGUCCUUUCUCUAAGACCUAGGAACCUGUUUCUUGGUGGUUCAUUCUCUCCUUGCCUCCCACCAAGGAGUUGGGAGACACUCCUCCCACUCCCAACACCAUCUCCCGUCUCUGCACGAUUGAGGGAGUAAUCCUGGGAACCCUGGAAUCUGGAACCCUGACUGCUCAUUGCAACACAAGCUGAGGGAAGUCAUCACACUCAGGCACACCCAGUCCCCUCCGGGGGGCCCCAAGAACACCCCAUACUCUACUCCAGGAGCCUUCCCCAGCUCCUCAGGACAACACACACCCAGAAGACACAGGACCUAAAAAACAAAGUACAAACUUUAUUUUGUUUCUUUAUAAAGGCACGGUGGCCUCUUGGUUUUUCCCCCCACUUUCUUAACAAAAUAUAAUAGUUUCUCCUUGAACACAAAGACCUCAAAAUUGUAAGAAAAAAAAUUUUCAAAAUAAAAAAGCAAAACAAAAAAAAAAACAAAA